CAAGUCAGUGGAGAAAUUCAUCUUCGAUGUAACCACAUAUAUAUACUUAACAUGUAGUGAGUGUUUUAAGUGAGUCUAAACUUUUGAUGGGUAGUGUAUUACUAAAAACAUCUCAUGGACUCUCUUGGUUUCCAUUUGAUAAAUUUGUAGAAACUGAAUGGAAUUUGAUUUUAGGAGACUUAAGUUUCCACCUAUUAUGUCCAUAAAAGUAUUUCAGCAAAUAAAAGAAAAUGAAAUUAAUUUGCUAUACACCAGGAUUUAGGUAUUUCACUUGUCUGUAAAGUAACAUGAGCCAGCUUGUUGACAUGACUUGACACUUUACACAGUAAACAGAGUGAAGUGGGCAUUAGGCUUGAGGUUGUUGAUACUGUCAGUAUUGCGUGUACAGUUGUAUAUGUAUAUAUGCUGUUGUAUAGGUAGGACUCUGGUGAUACACAGGUACAUGGUGGUGGGAGCUAUUGGCAUUACCAUCAUCAGACUAAAUAGUUCCCCAUAACAGAAACUCCCCUUAGAUGACUAAAUACUGAACUGUCAGCACACUCUGGUUCACGCUGUGAGGUUCACUCUGUGAAGUUCACACCAUGAGGUUGACACUGUGAGGUUCAUACUGUGAGUUCACACCAUGGGGUUCACAUUGUGAAGGUUCAUACCACGAGGUUCACAUUGUGAGGUUCAUACCGUGAGGUUCACAUUGUGAGGUUCACACUGUGAGGAUCAUACUGAGGUUCAUACCAUGGGGUUCACAUUGUGAGGAUCAUACCGUGAGGAUCAUACUGUCAGAUGUUCAUACCAUGAGGUUCACAUUGUGAGGUUUACACCGUGAGGUUCAUACCAUGAGGAUCAUACUGAGGUUCAUACCAUGAUGUUCACAUUGUGAGGUUCACAUCGUGAGGUUCAUACUGUGAGGUUCACAGCAUGAGGUUCACACUUGUCAGGUUCCUGUGAGGUUCACAUUGUGAGGUGUGGACACAUUAAAUACUAUGAGUGUAAUUACAUUGGUCAUGACAACAGUUUUGUAACCGUAUCAGAUGAAUCAGUAGCAAUUAGGUGGUUUUGUUCAAUAUGUAGUAGAAGUUAGUUGCUGUUUUCAAAACACCCAAUACAACCAUUGGUAUUGUUGACAUGUUGUAUUGGUUUUAAGUAGAAUACUUGUGUCUGUACAGGUGUAUCUUUAGCAGGACCUGUCCCCUUAGUUGCCCUUAGACUUAGUGUAAUUAUCAGAGCCGCAGCCAGCUGUCCACCAGCAUUGUGGCCAGUGCAUGAUUGCUGUAUCAUACAUCUUACAUCAUCUUCUUUGACCUUUGUGCAAGAUGGUACAGGAAUUAUUUUUCUACCAUGAAAUGCUAUAUUCUUUAAAUUAUGUCAUAUUUUUACAUAGAAAGCUGAUCUAUUUCUUGCAAUAUUAUCUGGUGUGUAUGUCGUGGAUACUCUAUAUUUGUUGUGUCAAACGGUUUAUUUUUCAAAGGCAGAGAUUUCUACUUUGGUGUCAACCUUAUUGAACCAUGCUUGUUGGGCUUCUCAGUUGGUGACUCUUGCUUGUCAGAUGGAUUACAAAACUACUUUUUCAGUUAAAGAAUGCCUGGUGUUCUGAAACCGUAUAAAAUAACUCCUUGUUGUAAGUUGUUGAAAGAACUGUCCACAUAGCCUGCAUCAGAAUCAAACCUCAAAGUAUGACCUAUUGUUGGUCAAGGGGCUAGUACGUAUGUCUGCCAACUAACCAAAGUAGUUCAUGAGAGAGUGAAUAUUCUGGCUGCCAUCAAUGAAUGCACGUCAAGGCUAUUACCAGAUCCAGCUAUGGCUUGUCCUUCACACUUAAUUAGUU
Long non-coding RNA from Haliotis rubra (blacklip abalone), 1822 nucleotides. RefSeq lists it as uncharacterized. The transcript has 3 exons. The record is from RefSeq and is a predicted model, not a curated record. Lineage: Eukaryota; Metazoa; Mollusca; Gastropoda; Lepetellida; Haliotidae.